Molecule: long non-coding RNA, 1903 nt
Filed under: Sus scrofa (pig)
Lineage: Eukaryota; Metazoa; Chordata; Mammalia; Artiodactyla; Suidae
Description: lncRNA (ENSSSCG00025032385.1)
Source: RNAcentral
UUUUUUUUUUUUUCUGUAGUCUUUCUCAUCUUAGUAAAUAGUAACUCAAUCCCUCAAGUUGCAGGGGUUAAAACUUUAAAUUUACCCUUGGUUCUUUCUUUCUCUCACAUCUCAUAUCUCUUGGUUUGACAUUCAAAAACUAUUCUUCAUCCAGACACACCCAUUCCACUGUCUUCUAUUAUUUCCUCUUGAAUUCAUGAUACUAUCACCUAUUGUCUGUAUUAUUGCAAUUGUCUCUGAUUUAAACAGAAACCAGAAUGGCCUUCUUAAGAGGUAAGAUUAUGUCACUCCUCUGUUCACAAUCCUCCAAUGGCUUACCUUCUCAUUCGAGAGUAAAAGUUAAAAUCUGAGGGAGUUCCACGGUGGUUUGAUGGUUAGGAUCAGGCACUCUUACUGCUGUGGCACGAGUUCAGUCCCUUAUUUGGUAACUGAGAUCCUGCAUCAAGCCACUGUACACCACAGCCAAGAAGAAAAAAAAAAAGUUAAUUUCUGAGCUCUGCCACAUCAUUGACCUCAUUUUCUCCAUCUCUCUCCCUCAUAUAUUUCAUGCCAGUCAUGUGGACUUCAUGAUAUUUUAACUUGUCCUGUAAGCUCUGUAGGGUCUCUGCACUUCAUGAUCCAUCUAUCUGGAAUGCCUUUCUUCCAAUUGUCAUAAAGCUUGCUCUCUUUAUUUCCUUUGGCUCUCUACCCAAAAGUCCAUGAGAUUUUUACCAUCCAUCUCCAGCACACCCUGUCUCCCUUAUCUGUCUUUAUUUUUCUCCAUAGUACUCAUUGCCAUCAUACAUUGUUUAUUUUCUACUUUCCUCCGAAUAUAAGCACCAUAAGAGCAGGAAUUUUGGCUGUUGUAUUUAUUGCUGAAUCUCAGCAUCUAGAACAGAGGUUGGCACAUGGAAGGUGCUCCAUAUCUGUGAGUAAAUUGCCUCUCCCUCUCUUAUUAAGCAUUAUCUAGGUUUACUUUUUGCAGUUCAUUUUUAUCUUAUGAAUUCUAAAUUCUACUUUUAUUCCAUACUCAAUUUUUAAAUUAAAAGAAGAAACAGAAGCAAUUAAUGUUGGUGUAGUUUCUCCUAUUUCAUUUCCUUUCUUGGACUUGAACAUUUUAUCAAAUACAAUUAAGUACCUUGCCAAUAAUUUACUUAUGAAGAAAGUAAGACUUCCAGAAGAGGGUCUGGGUAGUUAAUCUUAUCACUAGUAUUUUCUCCUGACUCUUUGCCAAUUUUACAAUCUGUAUCAAUGGGGAUUAUUUUACUUCCUCCUCCUUUCUUUCCUGUAGAGAGCUGAAGUGAACUGUGGGCUUUUUUCUUCCCUAUUUACUCACUUGGCCCCUGGGGGGUUAGGGGGCUGAUAAAUUAGCCAAAGCAAACUGGCAUGUUUGUCUCAUGUCUGCCCUUACUUCACUUAAGAGUGAGCCUGCCCACAGAGAGUUUAAAUUUUCUUUUGCUCAUCCUUGCUGUAAGCAGAUAUAAACCUUAAAACCAUCCUUGCCUGUGAGUACCUGGCCUCAUCUUCCCACUUGAGAAAUGCAAUUUAUUGGGCUUCCUUCCUUGCUUUUUGCUUUUUAAAGCUGCACCUGUGGCACAUGGAAGUUCCCAGUCCAUGUAUAGGGUAUGUAUGGCAUAGAGUCCUAUCCUGCCUUCCUUCAAUUACCUUUGUGCAUUUAGAAUACAUUAUAGUUUCCAUUAUUAUUUCACAUCAUUUUCUAAGCCUUAUUAUUUAGGAUGAGGUUCUAUUUAUCACUUUAUGUAAUUAGAUUUAUUUUAUAAUCCAUUGCUUGCACUUUGGUAUAUAGAUAUCUGAGAUUAUGAUGUUACUGAUCCAUUUGCUCAUGACUUUCUCAUAUGACCUAUUGGAACUUCAUCAUUAUUUUAUGUCAUAUUGACAUACUCCAUAAUAAUGAUUUUCAAAC